This is a long non-coding RNA of Drosophila novamexicana, 1042 nucleotides long. RefSeq lists it as uncharacterized. The record is from RefSeq and is a predicted model, not a curated record. NCBI's taxonomy places the organism in Eukaryota, Metazoa, Arthropoda, Insecta, Diptera, Drosophilidae. The transcript has 3 exons.
UAGCUAAGUGAACUUUCGCCAAAGUGCCGGACAAAUCUGUAGGCGGCCAGUAACCUGGACCUGGCAGCGGAAGUGUAUUUAAAUCGCUUUUAAUGGAAAAAUAUGCAAAGCAGCGGCAGCCUACGUAAGCUAGUUGGCUCUGGAGGCUGUUGCAAAUCUGUGCGGACUAUUGGCCCGUCAGGUUCCGGCAGUAGGAUCCCAGGCAGCCGCCCUUCAUUAAAAUUCCAAACAUUUUCACUUUACCAAGACGCGCGCACGGAAAUGCUGACACACUUUAAAACAAUUUUCUGGCGUUCUUCCCGUUUUGUCUGCGGGGGCGACGACGGCGCUGCCAACGCAGGACAUAUGACAAACUUGACGUAGCAUGUCAAAAGAUUUCAAGGCAAUUUGGCAGUGACAGAGACCAGGACAGCCACAGAGAGUGGAAGAGGCGACCGACGUGUGUCUAUGCAGUGCAAACAGUGCUGGGAAGUGUAGAAAACUUUGACUAUGCUGUCAAGUAUGCAAUGAACAUAAAUUGAAAUUCGAUUGGUACAAGAACAUUUCAAAUUAGUCAAUUUAAUGUGUCACUUGUUUGUAGCAGAAGCUCAGUGCUGUAAGCACUUGUUUAGAUGCAGUAAAACUUUUACGGAUGACUCGCCAAGAACAAUUAUAAAUCUAAUCCAAUGUAAGACCUUUUAUAUGAGCACUCAGUAAAACGUUAUCGAAGGGUGUGCAAAUAACAAUUGAGAGGAAUAAAGAAAUUGCGAAAGAGAAAGAGCGAGAGAGAGAAAGACUAGUUGGCUAACUAGUUUAGGCACUUUCCUGGAUCGCAGCAUCAAAAGGUUGACAAUUUUUGCUUUAAUAGAGAAAGCAUUGACAUCGAGUUUAAGCGAAUAUUUUUGCAGUAGAGGGAUUUCAAAUUGACAGCUCUCGAUUGAGUUAAUGCUAUAGAGCAAUCGCGUAUUUAUUUGAUGACAAAUCCCUAAUUUAAUUCAUAGUAGGUAAGUCAACAUGAUACAUUGCAGGAAAUUAAACCUUUACGAAAAACGUUUUCAAAAAA